GGGGUGUAGGGUGUAUUCUGCUACCACCAUGUUGGAUACAAGUUCAUGUUCCCCCAGUGGUCUUCGUUGACAUCUGAGGGGAGCUCCUCAUUGCUGCUAGAUCUGUUCUAUCAACGCUGGGAGACACAACAUGGCAAGACAGCAGAUUAUUGCACAGAAGGGACUGACUUCUGUAUACAGGACACAGAAAUAUUUCUCUCCAUCCCUUUACAUUGAGCCUCUCGGUGUCAUUGCAUAUCAGAUGGGUCUCUUCAAGACAGCAUACAGUUUGGUCUUGUUCCUUUAUCCAACGUGCCACUCUGUGCUUUUUAGCUGGGACAUUUAGCCAACUUACAUUUAAGCUCUUGUAUCAUUUUACUGGAUUCCUUCAAUUCCUUAAAUUGGGUUUCAACUUUCUCCUGAGUCUUGAUGAUCUUUGUUGCCAUCGAGAUUCAGAAUUCUAUGUCUGUUAUUCCAGGAGCUAAUGUGAUCAUUUGGAGAUGAAUGGAGAGGACUCCAGACCGAGAGGCCAAGUGUACUGGAUGCACGGAGCCUGGAUUUCUGAACAACUGCAUGGCAAGCACUUCCUGAAGGUGCACCUAACAAGGAAUACUGUGGUAGGUUGUGGACUGAAGGAGAAAGAAAUUUUAACUGUGUUAAGUCAUUGAAAUAGGAGUUUUUUGCCUAACCUUACGCAUCCAGUGAUUUAUUUAAUGGGUUAGACUAAGCAGUCGCUUCUUGGCUCCUGUUGUCAGGGCUUCUUACUCUCUAAAGGAAUGUAUUUCUUCAAAAUGUUAAGCAGUCUGUGGUUCUUACAUUGCAAGAAAAAGCAAAAAUGACAAUGCCCAGCAUGCUCCGCAAAUGAUUUUAUAUAUUAGGUUCCAGGCUUAAAGGGUCUGAGUUGAUGUUUGGGUUCCCUGGCUAGGCUAAUAAUUUAGGGACGUUUCAGAUAGUUACUCUUUAAGUCUUUGUUAAAUAUUGUAUAUCAGAGGUGAUGAGAAAUCAUUUUUAUUAAUAAAAUUAGAAUUCCUCUUCCUUGAAGCUUAUAAUAAAGGAUUUAUUGUAUGCACUGAAUACAGUGUAAGUAUUAUUAUUUAUUUUUUUUAUUUUUGUUUUUAUUUUUUUUGAGACGGAGUCUUGCUCU
This 1123-nucleotide long non-coding RNA is filed under the name Homo sapiens (human). RNAcentral's name for it is "HSALNT0269227". The record is from RNAcentral. Lineage: Eukaryota; Metazoa; Chordata; Mammalia; Primates; Hominidae.